GCGCACAUCGUACCAGGAAAUGAAAAGACGACUGCGGAUCUUCAAGGGAUAGGAUGGUUGUGGAUCAGAUGAUUAUAUAAAAGUAUAAUGUGCCCGUGUCACCAACGGAUGAUCGAGAUGGUAUGUCCGGUAUCACUUUAAAUGUUCACAACUCUCAGGAUGGCGUAUUUCUGCCUGCCGCUUAUUUCCUGCUUGACCUUGUGAACUCGUCCGUGUGACCCGGAAAAAUCACUUCCAAUUCUCAUCUUUUAUUUUGAUAUGCCUGGGCUUGUUAUGUAUUACCCAGACAGGAUGUGACAUCACCGGGUCCAAACGUCAGGACGGGCUGUCUAGGAUGUCCAGAACCCGUGCUGCUGGAGGAUGCUUCCUCGCAGCGGGGUCCAGACAAGUGAUGCUCGCUGGAGGAUGUAGGAUUGAACCAAGCAGGCGAGACAGAGGCACAGGAGACUGAAAAAUCUCUAUUUCCUCUACUUCCUGGUUUGAGUAUGACCCCUCACCUGGCUUGUGACCCUUCAACUUGAUAUCACUCCUAAGAGUUGGCUCUGGGGUAGACUACUCCUGUUGAACCACAGUGUUAGACCAGCACCCUGUCUACAACAUCACAGCCAGUCAACACUGGGGCUGUGACUACUGGCAUGACUGGGACCAGUGUGACCCAGACUCCUCUCCUCCAUACUCAGAAUGCAGCAGCUGAUCCCCCACCAGGGGCACCUGGCUCCCCUCCGUCCUCUGGCUGGAUCAAUGACUAGAGCCAUCCCAUCCCAGGGACCAGGGGUCAGCAUCAAAAGCCCCCUGCCCACGUCCUUGCCACCUGGUGCUCUCUUUAGGACGAGGGGGUACACUUCCACCCCUCCACCCUCCUCCUGAACAGACCAGGCUGUUUGGACAUGGAGCCAGAACAGGGCCUUCGUGUGAUCUCCCGCGCCCCCUCCCCAGCCGCCCCCCACAGGGAGAGGGCCAGGGGUCAGCCCCAUCAGACCACCACACGGCUCACAGAGCCAUUUGAUGAGGGGAUCUGUUUUCGAUUUCAUAAUGCCCGCCGAAUCAUGAUCCUGAGCCCUACUCAACUUGGUUAUGAUGUGUUAAAUGUGUAAUCUGUUUGUCAAAAGCUUCAUGUUGGAAAAAUGUUUGUUUCCAGGGAUUUAUGGAUGUGAAGUUGACCUGGUCAAUUAAGGUUUGUAGAUGACUGUUUUCCUGAUUUGAACAUGCAGUACAUAUACAACAAUACUCACUUGACUUAAUUACGGGUUCAAAUGAACAUAUCAACAACAUACUGUUAUUUAUGAUACAGUUUAUUAGGUCAUUAAGUAAUUUGGGGCAUAUAUGACACCAUAUUGACAGUUCUGAUAAUUAAUCUGACAUGUUUCUGACUAAUCACAACAGGCUUCCAUUUCACUAACUCAUACACAAUAACGUACGAUGUGUCACUACCUCACAGUCCUACCAAUGAAUAACUGGACAUGCAGUAUUUAAAGAAAUGCAGCCACUCUUGAAGGACAAUAGAAGUUAAAUAUACGAGAGUAUGUUGUUAAAAUGAAUACCUUUUUGACAUUGAUGCCUUCAAUCCGGUGUUAGACUUUACUGACUGACUUUACUGACUCGUGGAAGUGUUUCAUGGUCCUUAAACUUGGAUACAACAUACCCAAUAUGAAUCCUCAGUUUCUCUGUGAUACAGAGCCUGUAUGUCGUUCAGGCUGUCAGUACAUCAUGAAUACAUAUUAAUGAACCCAGAUUUCUAAAUCUGUUUAUUGAGCUUCUUCUUCCAUUUCCUCCCUCCAUUCUUUCCUCCAGUGCGUUAGCAGAUCCCAGUAUGUCCCCUAGUCUUGUGACAAGGGAUGAAAAGGAGAGAAAAAAAGGUCUAAUGAGUUUGGCAAAAGGAGGACAGAGGGGGGAGACAGAUGGCAUGAAGUCUGCGUGGCUCUGGCGUGGCUCGCCUGGUGCUAAAAUCCUCCUCUCUCACAUUCCAACAAAUCCUAGCAGGAGGUUGGGGAGUCUGCCACACCACUCAGUGGAUCCACGGGGUUCUCUCGGCACCCCUUUCCUCGCUCCCCUGCACCCGCGUAAGUCCCUGACCAAGGGUGUCAGCCUCCCCAUACCAUAUCCCCACAUGUAUACAUAUAUUAACAUGUUUAUACAGUAUAUAUAGUAUGAUGGGCCAUUUUAUUGGCCUGCUAAGAUAAUAAACACAGGAGGGUGUGAGACAGAGAGACAGGCGCUGAUUGUUAGUAUGGAAUUGGGCGUGUGGGAUCAAAUUGGGAGUGGACCUAUCCCUCCACUCUAGUGUCAAAUCUCAUUGAGUAAACAUAGGACCAAAGCAUGGAGGCAAAGACUGUAAUCCAUUUAUAUGAGAGGAAGAAAACCUAAGUAGCUUUUCAAUUAGUUUCGCCACCCCCAGCUCCUGAUAAGGAGGAAACGCUGGCAAGUUGAGCCUGUCACAGGCCAGACAUGCCCUGCUCAGAUUGCCCCAUAUUCUCCUCAGUCGGUCCGUCGGUGGGGCUUAUGGCCAAAUGUACAGUAAGUGUAACUGCAUGGUAAUCACACACAGACAGUAUGCCCCACCACUGGCCCGCGGUGACCACAUGACGUCUUCAUGUGUUUCCACUUCUAAAUUGUUUUGGAUUGCAUUUGAAUUUUAGGAAUGUGCAUUGAGGAGCACCAUAUAAAAGUACAUCAGCGAUAUGAUAAUCAUGUUUAUAAUGUAUAUUACGGACAAUCUCUCUCAAUAUUCUCUCUCUCUCUUUAUUCUCUCUCUCUCUCUCUCUUUAUUCUCUCUCUCUCUCUCUUUUGUCUCUCUGUCUGUCUCUCUGUGUAUAAUUGACUGUAUAGUGCACACUAUCAAUCUCUAACACACUUUUUUCUCUCUCUCUCUCUCUGCAUGUAUAUAUUGUGUAUAAUGUACUGUGCAGUGUACACUAUCAAUCUUUAUCUCACUAUCUCUCUCUCCCUCUCUCUCUCUCUCCCUCUCUCUCUCUCUCUCUCUCUCUCCCUCUCUCUCGGCACUUUGCCUUCUGCUCGUGCUAUUGAGUGGCUCUUAUGGGAAUGGAGGAUGCUGUGAAAAGGUCACAGGAGGUUUGAGUAUCAAAUUACUGUUAAUGAUAAUGAUAAUAAAAAGAGAAAUUUGCUCCAAAUCUA
Molecule: long non-coding RNA, 3132 nt
Organism: Salvelinus fontinalis (brook trout)
Lineage: Eukaryota; Metazoa; Chordata; Actinopteri; Salmoniformes; Salmonidae
Exons: 3
Source: RefSeq, a predicted model, not a curated record